GAUGGAGGCCGGCGACAGAGGGGGGCCACUCCCCCGAUCACGGAGGAGCAUGGCCGGCGAUCAGUUGCGAUCGCCGGUGCCGAAAAAUUCACGGGAAAGAGACCGAAACAGAGGUCCCUUUCUCCGAUCGAAAAUUGGCGACUGUCGUCGCCGGCAGCCGCGCACAAGAGCAUGGAAGGAAGGGGAAGAAAGAGGGGAAGAAAAAAGGAAACUCACCUCGGCCUCCGGUGACCUCGUCGGCGGGCAGUCACGGCGAGAACAAGGCAAGGAAUCGCGGCUCUACUUCGGGAAAAUCGGAGAGGAAAAGAGGGGAAAAUGGCCGAUGUUGGGUUUCUAGGAAGGAGG
RNAcentral lists this long non-coding RNA (345 nucleotides) under Elaeis guineensis (African oil palm). RNAcentral describes it as "long non-coding RNA (EGUI_LNC039903)". Lineage: Eukaryota; Viridiplantae; Streptophyta; Magnoliopsida; Arecales; Arecaceae. The record is from RNAcentral.